RNA transcript from Tarenaya hassleriana, 2057 nucleotides. RefSeq lists it as uncharacterized. The transcript has 7 exons. NCBI's taxonomy places the organism in Eukaryota, Viridiplantae, Streptophyta, Magnoliopsida, Brassicales, Cleomaceae. The record is from RefSeq and is a predicted model, not a curated record.
UCUUGAAUUUCUCCAUCCUUGUUUUUUUUUCCUUUCUAAAUUUGAUUCAUCGGCGAUUGUUUUCUGGUUUUGUUCGGUUUUAUAUGGAUUCGAUUUGUAAUUUUCUUCUAUGAUUGUAAUGUUUGAAUUUUUCCUAAUGUCCGUGUUCUUGAUUUCUCUUCUCAUGUAAGAUAUUUUUGGCGGAUUCCUCUCGGCGUUCAGUGUUUCUCUUUGAUUAAUCUUUUUGAAAUAUCGAUUUGUAUGCGACUGUGUGUGUGUAUAUGUAUGACCAGUAGUUGCGUUCCCCUAUACGUGAGUGCGUACACGCCAUACGUAUCUAUCUGUAUGUAUCUUUAUCUAACCUUGUUUGUAUGCGUGUGUCUGUGUGUACAUCUAUGAACAGUAUUGUUUCUGUUGAUGAUGUUCUUUUGGCAGAACCGAAAGGAAUAGCAAGUCCUGGGAAAGAGGAGAAGAUGAUCGAUAACGAAGUAAAAGACGCUCCGACCUUUGUAAUGCAAGAGACUGAAUUUGACGUUGAUCGAGGAAACGGGCAGGCUCCUAUGUUAGGUACAGAACUAAAGAAACACAUUUGUGAUGCAUUGGAUGGUAGGAGCAGCAAUGGAGAAGCUUGUUCAUUGGAUACAGAACAAGAUUUAGCAUUAGCCAGUGAAGAUCCAAGGGAGUUGAAAGAGGAGAAAGAUGCAUCGGCGACAAGUUCCUCAUCUUCUUCCUCGGGAAAGAAACUUCUUAUUCUUGAUCUGAAUGGUUUGCUUGCAGAUAUUGUAUCUUCUCCUCCCAAAGGAUAUACACCAGAUCUUAACAUUGGAACAAAAGCAAUUUUUAAAAGACCCUUUUGUGAAGAUUUUCUAAAGUUUUGCUUGGAGAAGUUCGAAGUCGGUAUCUGGUCAGGGCGAAGCAAGGGUAAAGUAGAGAAAAUCACUGAGUUCUUGUUUGGAGAUAUGAAGAGUAGACUGUUGUUUUGUUGGGACAUAUCUCAUUGUGCUAAAAUAAUAUAUGGUUCUCUCGGGAGAAAGGACAAAUACGUAGCUUUUAAGGAGCUAAAACGACUGUGGGAGAAUUAUGACCCGGAUUUACCAUGGAAGAAGGGUGAUUUUAGCGAAACCAACACGGUUUUGUUAGACGAUUCUCCGUUUAAAGCGCUGCUUAACCCACCAUAUACAGCAGUAUUCCCUCUUUCUUAUGACUAUAACGACGAAACCGACAACUCCUUAGGUAAAAUUCUUUCCCUGUGUUUUCUGCUCCUGUUGAGGCUUGAAGUUCCUUUCACUUGUUCGUCUCAUCAGCUUUCUCUUCCAAACUGUGGUUGUGAGUUUGAUGGUAUUAACUCAUUACUAACUGGAUGGACCCAAUGCCAGAUUCUUGAAGAUGGUUUUCCGGUUAUGGUAACGAUUUUGAAAGAAAGAAAUGCUAUUUUUGGUUCGGUGCACUUCCAUGUCAAAUUCAUUUUGAUGUAGGCAUUCCGAUCUUUUUGUCAAGGAUAUAUAUCAUGUCUACCAAGUACCAACCUUGUGUAACUACACCCAAAACAUUUCUGGUCGUGGUGAUCGUAUUUGCGGGUUCAUUGAGAUUCAGGUGAAGGUGGUGGUCUGAGGAUAUACCUGGAAAAGUUGGCAGAAGCAGAUAACGUUCAAGAAUUCAUCAAGAACCAUCCUUUCGGACAAGAGCCUAUGUCCGAAGCAAGUGAAUCUUGGGAGUUCUACAGCAGCAUCAUUGGAAAUAGAAGAUCAUGACAGAACAAAGGGUAUGUUAAUGUCACAUAUGGAAUGAUCAGGUACGCUUUCAAGAUAUGAAGGGGUAGAGAAACGGCGUGAUUUUUGCGUCUUCUUGUUAUAGACGACUUGGUGUUUCGUUGUAAAAGUUAAGCUAUGCAUUAGUUUCAGACUCUCAAACCAAAAAAAAAAUAAUUGGAAAGAUUAUGAAAAUAAAAGAGAAAAUCGCAUAUAAAUACCUAAAUUUUUACAAAAAUUCUAAAUAAAUACUUGAACUAUAAAAUUUUCAUAUAAAUAUAUGAACUUUUCUAAAAUCCUAUAUAAUACCUAUACUUUUGAAAAACGCUC